Molecule: non-coding RNA, 941 nt
Filed under: Eleutherodactylus wightmanae
Lineage: Eukaryota; Metazoa; Chordata; Amphibia; Anura; Eleutherodactylidae
Description: 12S ribosomal RNA
Rfam family: Bacterial small subunit ribosomal RNA
Source: RNAcentral
CACAAAGGUUUAGUCCCAGCCUUGAAAUCAGUUACUACUUAACCUACACAUGCAAGUCUCCGCAUCCCCGUGAGAAAGCCCCUAAACCCUUAUGGAUUUAGAGGAGCAGGUAUCAGGCAAACCUCACCCAUGACACCUAGCCUUGCCACACCCACAAGGGCAAUCAGCAGUGACUAAUAUUGAAUUAUGAGCAACAGCUCGAUUCAGUUAAAGUAAUUAGGGCCGGCAAAUCUGGUGCCAGCCGCCGCGGCCACACCAUAGACCCAAAUUGAUUUCUAUCGGCGUAAAGCGUGGUUAAAGCCUUUCUAAAACUAGAGCUAAACCAAGACCUUCACAGUCAAAUUAUUCUCUUUGAGUAAAUCCAUAAACGAAAGUUGCUCUACUUAAUUCACUUGAACCCACGAAAGCUAGGACAUAAACUGGGAUUUGAUACCCCACUAUACCUUGCCGUAAACUUUCAUUUACACCUCUCCACUAACGCCAGAAAACUACGAGCAAAGCUUAAAACCUAAGGGACUUGACGGUGCCCAUAUCCUACUAGAGGAGCCUGUCCUAUAAUCGAUAAUCCCCGUUGAACCUCACCACUUCUAGCCCGUCAGCCUGUAUAUUUCCGUCGUAAGCUAACCACAUGAGUGACACCCAGUUAGUUCAAAGACUCCCCUCGUCAACACGUCAGGUCAAAAUGCAGCAAAUGAAGUGGGAAGAGAUUGGCUACACUUUUUAUUAUAAAAGAAAACGAAAGACAAUAAUGAAACUUUGUCAGAAGGCGGAUUUAGCAGUAAAAAGAAUUCAUAACAUUCAUUUGAAUCUGGCACUGGAGCGUGUACAAACCGCCCGUCACCCUCUUCGACAAAUAACCCAAACAGUAUUUAACAAACUAUUUUUACCAGAGAAGAGGUAAGUCGUAACAUGGUAAGUGUACCGGAAGGUGUACUUGGAAA